AUUGAACGCUGGCGGUAUGCCUAACACAUGCAAGUCGAACGGCAGCACAGUAAGAGCUUGCUCUUACGGGUGGCGAGUGGCGGACGGGUGAGGAAUACAUCGGCAUCUACUUUUUCUUGGGGGAUAACGUAGGGAAACUUACGCUAAUACCGCAUACGACCUACGGGUGAAAGCAGGGGAUCUUGGGACCUUGCGCGAUUGAAUGAGCCGAUGUCGGAUUAGCUAGUUGGCGGGGUAAAGGCCCACCAAGGCGACGAUCCGUAGCUGGUCUGAGAGGAUGAUCAGCCACACUGGAACUGAGACACGGUCCAGACUCCUACGGGAGGCAGCAGUGGGGAAUAUUGGACAAUGGGCGCAAGCCUGAUCCAGCCAUACCGCGUGGGUGAAGAAGGCCUUCGGGUUGUAAAGCCCUUUUGUUGGGAAAGAAAAGCAGCAGGUUAAUACCCCGCUGUUCUGACGGUACCCAAAGAAUAAGCACCGGCUAACUUCGUG
This 492-nucleotide ribosomal RNA is filed under the name uncultured bacterium. RNAcentral's name for it is "partial 16S ribosomal RNA". It matches the Rfam family "Bacterial small subunit ribosomal RNA", at positions 30 to 507 of the family's 1533-position model. The record is from RNAcentral.